AGAGUUUGAUUAUGGCUCAGGACGAACGCUGGCGGCGCGCCUAACACAUGCAAGUCGAACGAGCGAGAGAGAGCUUGCUUUCUCGAGCGAGUGGCGAACGGGUGAGUAACGCGUGAGGAACCUGCCUCAAAGAGGGGGACAACAGUUGGAAACGACUGCUAAUACCGCAUAAGCCCACGGGUCGGCAUCGACCAGAGGGAAAAGGAGCAAUCCGCUUUGAGAUGGCCUCGCGUCCGAUUAGCUAGUUGGUGAGGUAACGGCCCACCAAGGCAACGAUCGGUAGCCGGACUGAGAGGUUGAACGGCCACAUUGGGACUGAGACACGGCCCAG
This 331-nucleotide ribosomal RNA is filed under the name uncultured bacterium. RNAcentral describes it as "bacterial SSU rRNA". It matches the Rfam family "Bacterial small subunit ribosomal RNA", at positions 8 to 334 of the family's 1533-position model. The record is from RNAcentral.